RNAcentral lists this long non-coding RNA (900 nucleotides) under Nicotiana tabacum (common tobacco). RNAcentral describes it as "long non-coding RNA (NTAB_LNC010766)". Lineage: Eukaryota; Viridiplantae; Streptophyta; Magnoliopsida; Solanales; Solanaceae. The record is from RNAcentral.
AAACAGCUCCGGAUCAAGUGGAGCACACCAACUCUCGCUGAUCAAGAAUCCUAAGAAGGGGGACCGUCAGCUUGCCUACCUGCACCUGCGGGCAUGAAACUCAGGCCUCGUGAAAUAGGGCGUCAGUACGAAAAAUGUACUGAUUAUGUAAGGCAUGAAAAUUAGUACGUAAGAGACAUAGAUGAAACAUGGAAUAAGGAAACAUAUCUUUAAAUCUGAAUAACUUUAUAAAUUCUGAAACGUUUAUAAUGUCAUGCACGUGCGUAUAAAUGUCGUUCCAUGCAUAGGUGUGGGUGUACAUAAUAUCAGGGCAUCCCAUCAUAUCAUCUCGGCCACUGUGGGCAACAUCAUCAACACAUACCCGCUGAUCAGGUGGUGGUUCGUAUAUAACGCCGUAACCUUUUCCCAUAUCCCAUAUACAUAUAUUUACAUAUAUACGUGUAUAUAACUCCAUCUGGUCAUGGGUCAAUACACAUAUAUAAAUGAGUGAAAUGUAUGAAAAAUAUGUAAAAAUCUCAAUAUUCGUUCUGGAUAAACUUUUUCAACUGCGUAUUAUUCUGAGACCCAUGAACAAAAGAUAAUAAUAAUUCACAUGGGGAAUCAAGAAUAUAGACACCCAUAGUAUUUUUAUGAAUAGAUUAAUCUAUGUAAACUGUGCGUUUUCUCGUUUCUUCAGUAUAAUUUGGACCAUGCCUAAAGAAAGAAGGGAUGACCUUAACAUACCUGGAGUAGGAACAACUCCGUAUAAUUAUCCCGUUGGAAACCUUUGUGGAUUGAACUUUGAACCCAAAAAUAGGAUUUAAGCUUCUGUGCUUUUGAACUUGAGGAACGAAAUUGGCUUGGAUUUUGGACGAAUGGAUUCUGCUCUAACGUUUUUCGUUUUUAAACCAAAGACAAAAU